AGGAGAUGCAAAAUAAUUCUUAAAUAUUCAGGAAGGCUCUUACACUUGCAAUAAGUUAUAUAUUUACUAUAUUACCAUAACAUCAUGUAAUGUUCCCUCUACGUAAUGGUGGACAGAAAUGCCAGCUAAUUUUACCUCUUCCUUAGGUAGGUUAAAGAGGUAUCUUUGGCAAAGGGGCUCAUGAGUCCCGAGUGCUAGAAAGCUCUAAGGUUAGAAGGAAGAACUUUAAGGAUGUCGAUGAAGAACAUUUAGAUUGUGCAGAAGGAAGCUCUACUUCCAAGCUCAGGCCUGGGCUUCAGUUGGCACCACCUACAUGGAAAGCAUCCUUGGAGCCACACCAUGGUCAGAGGCUGGCUUCCUUGGGCUUGUCUCACUUGACCUAAGGAUAGUAUGUGCUUAUAUCUUGAAUGUCACAGUGUAGGGAAUUCAGCUUGGGAGUCUUGGUGUUCUUUUCAGUCAGUAACAACUGACUGUUAUUUGUUGUUGUUGUCCUUGUUAUUGGAACAAAGACAUCAAAUUGUCUACAGAAAUAGGGUGAAAUAGGGUGUGGUGAGGAAUGGAUGUAGCGCAGCUUAUGGUUCAGGCAGAGCUGGCUUCUGCUUCAGCUCUUACAUACUGAUGCUAAAAGGAAUUACAGGUAACAAUUCCCUUGUGUUCAUGGAAGAACAGUUUUUUUCCCCCCUAACAGAUUUUUAUGGCUUUAACUGACAUGUCAUCAUUGUGAACUGUCUUCCCACAUUACAUGCUAUGGCACAUUAACAGUGGCAUGGCAUUGUGGGUUCUUGGUGAUUGGCUUAUUGACUGAACUGGGGCCCUGCUGGCUGGUUGGAGAGCCUUGGGCAGUGCCCGUUGAUGCUGAGGGUUCAGGUUUCAUGUACCUUAAAACAUGGCAGAGGACUCCAGGUUGUCCCAGGGAGAGUUUCUAUAUCAGCAGGUGUGUUUUCUCUGAAACUUCAUCAAAGCUUGGGAAAGAAUAGGAAGUAUUAUGGUAUAGGGGAUUGACAAUCCCUAGCCUUCAAUAUCUUCAUGUUAACGGGUGUUGGCAUUUCGAUCAUGAACUAUCUUCAAGUUUUCUGAAACAAUUAGGGAGUUUCUGCAUGUAUGCACAGACUGUAAUAGGUGAACUCAUUUGGGGUGCAGGAAAAUGUACCACUUGGUAUUGGAUCCUCAAGCCAGCACAAGAGGCAAUGCACUGUUAAAAAUACCUAGCUUACUUCCGGGGAGGAUUUGGCUGAAUACUGAUGAAGUUUAUGAAAUAUGAAUGUAGUGAAGUUGCUGUACGUAAGUGGUAGGCGUGUGUGAAAGGAGUAAGAAGAAAUAAAAUUGUGUAUAAAUGACACUCUGAAACUUGAUGGAAUUGUACACGUGACAAGAAUGGCGACAUUUGGGUCUGUGCUUAACAGGGGGAAAGAAAGAGGCUCAAAAUCUAUAUGUCAGUCUACAAGUGGGAUUAAAAAUUAGAGAAUAUAAAAUCAUUUAUAGGCGAAGAAUGCUACCGAGGAUAAACAGACAGGUUGCAAAGAAUAAAGAUGAAAUUUCCAGAGAAGGGGAAAAAUGAUAGAGCAACAUUUGACUCUAUAAUGAGGUAUGGUAAUCACUGUAUUCCAGACUAUUAACUAUGGUGCUGUUAGUUGGGGAAGCAGUUAGAACCAAACAAAAGGCAUAACUAAGAAUUUGAGUUUGUGUGGGAGAAAUCCUUUUGAUCCCCCAAACGUGAAUGUAGAUGCCAAGACUCCAGGCUGCACGUGAUGUAAUUUUUCCUGUCUCGUCCUGAUUAAUUGACAGCCCACUGUAUGCUUCUUUCCUGAAGGUGACUUAACAAUCUCUAGACACAGACAUUUCCCUCCGAAGUGGAGUGAAGGAAGGAGAACCACAGCUAAAGUGUGUCUCACUGGGUGAAGUAUUUGGGGGAAAGAUAAGAGUGGUGUCAGGGGAAGGGAGUAGUGCACACAGAGAUUAAGAAGGCCUGUUUGGGGCUGGGGAGUGGGGGGCCCGUGGAUGAAGGCAGGGGAUCUCUAGAGGGUAAAGAGACUUCUGUGCAAAAGAAAAUGAAAUUAGCAUUGACUCUGAAAUGGCUGGGAAUGUGACUUUCUAAUUUUAAAUUAUCUUUAACAAGGGCAAUGAAAAGAGGAAAGUUGACACUUUUGAGAAGUUAUGACGAACUUGUCGAGAAUGCCAAUUGACAAAGGCAGGUAAGGGAAUACUUGGAAAAACAGCAAGAACAGGUUGAAGGGCACGCUGAUCUGCUUACUGGGAUGGUGAAGGAAUUGGUGGGCGUGUUUAUUGACUCUUCCAAUUAGUUUUCAAGAGACCUGAAGAAAUGGACACAGAUGGAGAAAAAGGCAACCAGAUGUGAUUCUGCCCUUCCAGAAGCAAAGAGGCUUAUGUCAACCCAUGUGAUCGAUGCCAGUCACGGCGAGGAGUGACUGUGGAAAUUAAUGGAUUUUCAACAUCCAAUCACAGAGGAAAUGUGUAUAUUUAGCAAGCCUAAAACCUCUUCAAUAAACUGCGUUGCUUUUCAUUUUCACUUUCCAGUUAUAAAACCAGUGGAAGAUGAAAAGCCCACGUGACAAUACAGCGUUCACUCCCGGGAACAUUUGUGUGACAGGGAUAUUAUAUCUGAAAGGACGGGGCAGCUGGGAGGGUGAACUGCCCAUAACUCUCAAUUGUCCAGGUGAGGAAGCACUGGGAAAGCAAAGGCAAAUGAAAUAAUUUGAUAAUAAAAAAUGAUUUCUCUGUUAGUGACCUGAUUACAUGACUGAUGCUGACAGGUGUGAAACUGCUGGUGUGGCUCUUGCCAUCUCUGGCACUCCUCACCUACCUCGGAGGAGCGUGGGGUUAGGGGAGUAGGAACCAGGGCAGUUUCUAUAGACCAGCCUGUUGACCCAGAAAUUGUCAAGUUUCUCAGUGGGAGGGACACAGCCAAAGAUUACUGAGGUUCUACAACUUUGUUAGGGCCCCACAGAGAGUCACUAGGAGAAUUGAUGGGUUCUUGAAUGUUCUAGAGGUUCCUUUUUCUUUCUUUCUUUCUUUUUUUUUGGGGGGGGGGUACCAGGGAUUGAACCCAAGGGUGCUUAACCACUGAACCACAUCAUCACCCCUUUGUAUUUUUUAUUUUGAGACAGGAUCUCGCUAAAUUGCUUAGGGCCUCACUAAGUUGCUGAGGCUGGCUUUUUGGUGCACUUGUUUCAGUCUCCUGAGCCACUGGGAUUAUAGGCGUGCACCACCAUGCCUGGCUAAAACCUGCUUUUUAAUCUGAGAUUGGGGGUAUAUGUUAGAUAUGUGAGGUUCACUCAUGGUAUUGCCACUGGUUCUAUUUUAUUGGACUACAGUGUGUUAGAGCCAGAAGGGGACCUAAGGACUCUCUAGCUCAUCCCUCCAUUUAAACCAAAGCUCACCGACAUCUAGUGGUAUGUAUAAAACCAUAGCAAGGGUAUGACAGGACUCCAGGUCUACUUUCUCAACUAAUCUUCCUCCCACUUGUGUGCUGUGCCAGGGUUCUCAGAAUUUCCUUUCCUCCAGGAAACCCCUUGAGGGUAUUAAGGUAUGUGUAGAAACUAAUCUGGAAUUAGGUAGCAGAUGUAUAUAUGAAAAUAAGUGAGAGUCAUUUUGGCUAUG
This 3618-nucleotide long non-coding RNA is filed under the name Marmota monax (woodchuck). The record is from RNAcentral. Lineage: Eukaryota; Metazoa; Chordata; Mammalia; Rodentia; Sciuridae.